Molecule: ribosomal RNA, 320 nt
Filed under: uncultured eukaryote
Lineage: Eukaryota
Description: partial 18S ribosomal RNA
Rfam family: Eukaryotic small subunit ribosomal RNA
Source: RNAcentral
CCCCUAGAUGUUCUGGGCCGCACGCGCGCUACACUGAACAGUUCAACAAGUCUUAACCUUGGCCGAUAGGUCUGGGUAAUCUUUGAACGCUGUUCGUGAUUGGGAUGGACCUUUGCAAUUAUGGGUCUUCAACGAGGAAUUCCUAGUAAACGCAAGUCAUCAGCUUGCAUUGAUUACGUCCCUGCCCUUUGUACACACCGCCCGUCGCACCUACCGAUUGAAUGGUCCGGUGAAAUCUCGGGACGGCGGCUCGGUCGCUUGCGUCCGACUGCUGAAACUUGAUUAAACCAUAUCAUUUAGAGGAAGGUGAAGUCGUAACA